This 993-nucleotide long non-coding RNA is filed under the name Phoenix dactylifera (date palm). Its description in RNAcentral is "long non-coding RNA (PDAC_LNC005798)". Lineage: Eukaryota; Viridiplantae; Streptophyta; Magnoliopsida; Arecales; Arecaceae. The record is from RNAcentral.
GGGUCAUUUUAGAGCUUAUUUUCUCAUUCACCUCUUAUUGUGUAACAGUUUGUUUCAGUACAAGUACUCCAGGAGAUUGCUAAGACCAAAGGGACCCCAGGCAGGAAGAAAACCUCAUUCCAGCCAGAGGAGUUGAAUGUUGAUCCUCCAUUGUUCCAUUUCACUCCAACUUUUUGACUAAUGGUCCAGAUCGUAAUUGAGAAAUUGCAUUCAAGAGUAGAUGAUCAAAUAUUUCAGGUCCAGCCUUGCAUAAAGGAUAACAGAAGAGAGCACUCCAACCAUUUUAAUCUUCCCGUGUUCAGCUUUUUGAUAGCUAGCCAUAUGAAAAUCUUGAUUAUUUUUUUUCAGGACUAAUUUCCUUCCAGAGUGCCGGUGCUAAGGCAGACUAUCCCUCCAUAAUUGAUGAAUCCAUAGAGGGACUGGUCAGAAUAUAACUUACUAGAAGGACUUGACAGAAUAUAAUUUACUAGAAGAAGCUUUUGGUACUUUGAAGUAUAUCAAUGGACUUUGAAGUACAUCAACGGACAAAGAAGAGGAUGGCUUCUAUCACGGUGCAUGAUGAUAUGAAAUACUGUCUCACUCAAUUGGAGGAGCAAGUCACACAACUCCCAGAGCUUUUGGCUCGACUUCUACCUUUGGAUUCAAUACCUGCAUCUCCUAUCACAAAUUAUCUCUAACAUCCGGGGAUGAUGAGAACUUUGUUUUGUUGAUAUUGAAAGAGGUGGAUACUUGGAAACUGAUCAUGAAUUGAAAUUAGAAAAUUAAGAGGCUUGGUCAUUGGAUGAGAAAGCAAGUGUUACCCUUACAGGAGCUAAUUUUCUCAAACAAGAAGAGCUCUAAUCCAAAAGGAUCAUAUGACCUGCCAUGGACCAAUCUUGCAAUUCUAAAUAGGUUUAGACGAGCUUCAGAAGCAAAAUCUGUUAAUCCAAGACUCAAAUCAUAUACCAAAAAUUUGUGAAGCCAUAAGUUUUAAUCCAGAAAAAAAUAUAGUGA